UGGGGAAUCUUGCACAAUGGGGGCAACCCUGAUGCAGCGACGCCGCGUGAGCGAUGAAGCCCUUCGGGGUGUAAAGCUCUUUCGACGGGAACGAUAAUGACGGUACCCGGAGAAGAAGCUGCGGCUAACUACGUGCCAGCAGCCGCGGUAAUACGUAGGCAGCAAGCGUUGUUCGGAGUUACUGGGCGUAAAGAGUGCGUAGGCGGUUUCGCAAGUUUGGUGUGAAAUCUCCCGGCUUAACUGGGAGGGUGCGCCGAAAACUGCGGGGCUGGAGUGGGGGAGAGGUAAGCGGAAUUCCUGGUGUAGCGGUGAAAUGCGUAGAUAUCAGGAGGAACACCGGCGGUGUAGACGGCUUACUGGACCCUGACUGACGCUGAGGCACGAAAGCGUGGGGAGCAAACAG
Molecule: ribosomal RNA, 403 nt
Filed under: uncultured bacterium
Lineage: Bacteria
Description: bacterial SSU rRNA
Rfam family: Bacterial small subunit ribosomal RNA
Source: RNAcentral